Molecule: ribosomal RNA, 254 nt
Filed under: uncultured bacterium
Lineage: Bacteria
Description: partial 16S ribosomal RNA
Rfam family: Bacterial small subunit ribosomal RNA
Source: RNAcentral
UACGAAGGGGGCUAGCGUUGUUCGGAAUUACUGGGCGUAAAGCGCGCGCAGGCGGCUAUCCAAGUCAGUGGUGAAAGCCCGGAGCUCAACUCCGGAACUGCCAUUGAAACUGUUUAGCUUGAGGAUGAGAGAGGUGAGUGGAAUUCCCGGUGUAGAGGUGAAAUUCGUAGAUAUCGGGAGGAACACCAGUGGCGAAGGCGGCGAUCUGGGAAGAUACUGACGCUGAGGUGCGAAAGCGUGGGGAGCAAACAGGG